This 253-nucleotide ribosomal RNA is filed under the name uncultured bacterium. RNAcentral describes it as "partial 16S ribosomal RNA". It matches the Rfam family "Bacterial small subunit ribosomal RNA", at positions 524 to 776 of the family's 1533-position model. The record is from RNAcentral.
UACAGAGGGCCCAAGCGUUGUUCGGAUUCACUGGGCGUAAAGGGUGCGUAGGCGGUCGGGUAAGUCUGAGGUGAAAUCUCCGAGCUCAACUCGGAAACUGCCUUGGAUACUGUUCGGCUAGAGGGUUGGAGGGGGGACUGGAAUUCUCGGUGUAGCAGUGAAAUGCGUAGAUAUCGUAAGGAAGACCAGUGGCGAAGGCGGGUCUCUGGACAGUUCCUGACGCUGAGGCACGAAGGCCAGGGGAGCAAACGGG